GACGAACGCUGGCGGCGUGCUUAACACAUGCAAGUCGUACGGUAAGGCCCUUUCGGGGGUACACGAGUGGCGAACGGGUGAGUAACACGUGAGUAACCUGCCCACAACUUUGGGAUAACGCUAGGAAACUGGUGCUAAUACUGGAUAUGUGCUCCUGCUGCAUGGUGGGGGUUGGAAAGCUCCGGCGGUUGUGGAUGGACUCGCGGCCUAUCAGCUUGUUGGUGGGGUAGUGGCCUACCAAGGCGGCGACGGGUAGCCGGCCGGGGAGGGUGACCGGCCACAUUGGGACUGAGAUACGGCCCAGACUCCUACGGGAGGCAGCAGUGGGGAAUAUUGCACAAUGGGCGCAAGCCUGAUGCAGCAACGCCGCGUGCGGGAUGACGGCCUUCGGGUUGUAAACCGCUUUCAGCAGGGACGAAGCUUUUUGUGACGGUACCUGCAGAAGAAGCACCGGCUAACUACGUG
This 465-nucleotide ribosomal RNA is filed under the name uncultured bacterium. RNAcentral's name for it is "partial 16S ribosomal RNA". It matches the Rfam family "Bacterial small subunit ribosomal RNA", at positions 28 to 507 of the family's 1533-position model. The record is from RNAcentral.